This 1381-nucleotide long non-coding RNA is filed under the name Heterocephalus glaber (naked mole-rat). RNAcentral describes it as "lncRNA (ENSHGLG00100041687.1)". The record is from RNAcentral. Lineage: Eukaryota; Metazoa; Chordata; Mammalia; Rodentia; Bathyergidae.
UGUGCUACCAGGCCCAUGCUGAUUUAGAACCAUGGUUCUCAAAUCUUAGGUUUCAUCAGAACAGCCAGAAAUAGCCUGUUACAACACAAAGCACUGAGCCCAGCCCUGAGUGUCCGGUGCACAAAGUGUGGGGAAGGCUGCGAUUGUAACAAGUUCCCAAGUGAGGCUGGAUCCUGGGCCCCAAUUUGGAGAACCACUUGAAGCCAUCCCACCAGCUGCCACCAGAGGGCACAUGCGACCUCCUCCAGAGGGCCUGUUUCACUUCCAGCCACCAGCUACCUGUUCUCUGGACUACAGAGGCUCUUCCCUAAAGACUUCUAAUUGGAGUGUGAUUAUUAUUAGGAAGAAGAAACACAGCCCUCACAAAUGAGGGGUUCUGCAAGUCUGCCUGAUAUGCGAAGAGGUCAGCCUCGUGGAGGUGUUAAAUCUCCUGGCUCUGGAGAAAAGCAAACAAUUGUUCCCCCUGGAGGUUUCUUGGGCCUCCCUCGAGCUGAAGCAGAGACCUCUUUCAGAACAUCCCAGAAUCAUUCUAAAUAUAAGCUUCGUGGAUUUUUGUCUGUUUUGUUCACUGAAGUAAACUGGGCAUCUAGAACAGUAGCAGUCCCUGCGGGGGCGCUUCCCAGCUGUGGAACGCAGCACAGGAGCGCCAGGGGGCCACAGGAGGAGCAGCCUAGCCGACCACCUCCUCAGCUGCCGUGGAAACCGCAGAGCGGGGAUCGUGACCUGGAAGUGCUCAAUAAUAAUGAUUUUAAGACACAUUUUAAAUCUUUCAGGAAGACGUGUGAGCAUGGUGAGCACCUGCAGCCGCUGUGGCCAAUACCUGCCGCCCCCACUGAGUUGGCCCCAUCCACCAGGGCCUUGGGGGACUUCCACGGCUGACAGACACUCUCACUGGCCGUAUGGAAGGGCCGUAUGGCCCCACUUUGCCCCACACCCUGCAAGCUCUCCGGAUGAAUCUCAACCUUCCUUAGCUACCCGCCUCCUCCUCUCCACCUUGAGCUCAGGACAUUCACUGAGGCUAUUUUAGUUGCAAGUGACAGAAACCAGCCCAAACAGGUUUAGGUGAGAAGGAAAUUAACUGGCUGGUACCUGAAAACUUUAGAGGUGCAGUCAGCUUCAGGAACAGCUAGAUAAUGGCUGUUGCACACAGGAAGAAGGUGAGAAGCAGGGCUUGGUGGCAGAAAGGAGAUGGGGCCCAGGAGGUGGCCUUAUUGUCUUCUCAGUCCUUCCUUUUGCCCAAAGCUGAGAACUCACAGGUAAAUCCCCAUCUUCUCUAAGGGAGCUGCUGGCCUGGGACAAGCAGAGACACAGCUCUUCCUCUUAUCACCUGUGAGAGCCAGGACAGGGCCUCCAUCUCCUGCCUGCGUGGAGCUGUGGCGAG